UGGGGAAUUUUCCGCAAUGGGCGCAAGCCUGACGGAGCAAUACCGCGUGAGUGAUGAAGGCCUUAGGGUUGUAAAGCUCUUUCGCCGGUGAAGAUAAUGACGGUAACCGGUAAAGAAGCCCCGGCUAACUUCGUGCCAGCAGCCGCGGUAAUACGAAGGGGGCUAGCGUUGUUCGGGAUUACUGGGCGUAAAGCGCGCGUAGGCGGGUCAUUAAGUCAGGGGUGAAAUCCCGGGGCUCAACCUCGGAAUUGCCUCUGAUACUGGUGGCCUUGAGUCCGUGAGAGGUGAGUGGAACUCCGAGUGUAGAGGUGAAAUUCGUAGAUAUUCGGAAGAACACCAGUGGCGAAGGCGGCUCACUGGCACGGUACUGACGCUGAGGUGCGAAAGCGUGGGGAGCAAACAGGAUUAGAUACCCCGGUAGUCC
Molecule: ribosomal RNA, 424 nt
Filed under: uncultured prokaryote
Description: bacterial SSU rRNA
Rfam family: Bacterial small subunit ribosomal RNA
Source: RNAcentral